This 468-nucleotide ribosomal RNA is filed under the name uncultured bacterium. RNAcentral describes it as "partial 16S ribosomal RNA". It matches the Rfam family "Bacterial small subunit ribosomal RNA", at positions 28 to 507 of the family's 1533-position model. The record is from RNAcentral.
GACGAACGCUGGCGGCGUGCUUAACACAUGCAAGUAGAACGGAAAGGCCCUGCUUUUGUGGGGUGCUCGAGUGGCGAACGGGUGAGUAUCACGUGGGUAACCUGUCCUUGACUUUGGGAUAACUUCAUGAAACUGGGGCUAAUAUCGGAUAUGAGCUCCUGCUGCAUGUUGGGGGUUGGAAAGUUUCGGCGGUUGGGGAUGUACUCGCGGCUUAUCAGCUUGUUGGUGGGGUAGUGGCUUACCAAGGCUUUGACGGGUAGCCGGCCUGAGAGGGUGACCGGCCACAUUGGGACUGAGAUACGGCCCAGACUCCAACUGGAGGCAUCAGUGGGGAAUAUAGCACAAUGGGCGGAAGCCUGAUGCAGGAACUCCGCGUGCGGGAUGACGGCCUUCGGGUUGGAAACCGCGUUCGCCUGUGACGAAGCGUGAGUGACGGUAAUUGGUAAAGAAGCACCGGCUAACUACGUG